UACGUAGGGGGCGAGCGUUGUCCGGAUUUAUUGGGCGUAAAGGGCGUGUAGGCGGUUUCUUAAGUCGGGGGUGAAACCCCAGGGCUCAACCCUGGGACUGCCUCCGAUACUGGGGAACUUGAGUGCUCUAGAGGGCAGUGGAAUUCCGGGUGUAGCAGUGAAAUGCGUAGAGAUCCGGAGGAACACCAGUGGCGAAGGCGACUGCCUGGGGAGUAACUGACGCUGAGGCGCGAAAGCUGGGGGAGCAAACGGGAUUAGAAACCCUUGUAGU
Molecule: ribosomal RNA, 271 nt
Filed under: uncultured bacterium
Lineage: Bacteria
Description: partial 16S ribosomal RNA
Rfam family: Bacterial small subunit ribosomal RNA
Source: RNAcentral